Molecule: ribosomal RNA, 253 nt
Filed under: uncultured bacterium
Lineage: Bacteria
Description: partial 16S ribosomal RNA
Rfam family: Bacterial small subunit ribosomal RNA
Source: RNAcentral
UACAGAGACUGCAAGCGUUAUUCGGAUUCACUGGGCGUAAAGGGUGCGCAGGCGGCCAAGUGUGUUAGGCGUGAAAGCCUGGGGCUUAACCCCAGAAUUGCACCUAAAACUACAUGGCUAGAGCAUUGGAGAGGGUAGCGGAAUUCACGGUGUAGCAGUGAAAUGCGUAGAUAUCGUGAGGAACACCAGAGGCGAAGGCGGCUACCUGGACAAUUGCUGACGCUCAGGCACGAAAGCGUGGGGAGCAAAAGGG